RNAcentral lists this ribosomal RNA (251 nucleotides) under uncultured bacterium. RNAcentral describes it as "partial 16S ribosomal RNA". It matches the Rfam family "Bacterial small subunit ribosomal RNA", at positions 524 to 776 of the family's 1533-position model. The record is from RNAcentral.
UACGAAGGGGGCUAGCGUUGCUCGGAAUUACUGGGCGUAAAGGGCGCGUAGGCGGCGGAUCAAGUCAGGCGUGAAAUUCCUGGGCUUAACCUGGGGCUGCGCUUGAGACUGAUGUGCUUGAGGAUGGCAGAGGCUCGUGGAAUUCCCAGUGUAGAGGUGAAAUUCGUAGAUAUCUGGAGGAACACCGGUGGCGAAGGCGGCAUCCUGGACCGACACUGACGCUGAGGAGCGAAAGCCAGGGAGCAAACGGG